Molecule: unclassified non-coding RNA, 616 nt
Filed under: Paecilomyces subglobosus
Lineage: Eukaryota; Fungi; Ascomycota; Eurotiomycetes; Eurotiales; Thermoascaceae
Description: sequence contains 18S rRNA gene, ITS1, 5.8S rRNA gene, ITS2, 28S rRNA gene
Rfam family: 5.8S ribosomal RNA (bases 229-382)
Source: RNAcentral
UCGUAACAAGGUUUCCGUAGGUGAACCUGCGGAAGGAUCAUUACCGAGUGAGGGUCCCUCGGGGCCCAACCUCCCAUCCGUGUUGUCCUGACACCUGUUGCUUCGGCGGGCCCGCCGUGGUUCACGCCCCGGCCGCCGGGGGGUUCACGCCCCCGGGCCCGCGCCCGCCGAAGACCCCUGGAACGCUGCCUGGAAGGUUGCCGUCUGAGUAUACAAUCAAUCAAUUAAAACUUUCAACAACGGAUCUCUUGGUUCCGGCAUCGAUGAAGAACGCAGCGAAAUGCGAUAAGUAAUGUGAAUUGCAGAAUUCCGUGAAUCAUCGAAUCUUUGAACGCACAUUGCGCCCCCUGGCAUUCCGGGGGGCAUGCCUGUCCGAGCGUCAUUGCUAACCCUCCAGCCCGGCUGGUGUGUUGGGCCGCCGUCCCCCCCCCCCGGGGGACGGGCCCGAAAGGCAGCGGCGGCGUCGCGUCCGGUCCUCGAGCGUAUGGGGCUUUGUCACACGCUUCAGUAGAACCGGCCGGCUUGCUGGCCACACGACCUUCACGGUCACCUAUAUUUCUCUUAGGUUGACCUCGGAUCAGGUAGGGAUACCCGCUGAACUUAAGCAUAUCAAUAA